GGCCAGACUCCUACGGGAGGCAGCAGUGGGGAAUAUUGCACAAUGGGGGGAACCCUGAUGCAGCGACGCCGCGUGGGUGAAGGAGUGCUUCGGCAUGUAAAGCCCUAUCGGCAGGGAAGAAGCAAGACGGUACCUGACUAAGAAGCCCCGGCUAACUACGUGCCAGCAGCCGCGGUAAUACGUAGGGGGCGAGCGUUAUCCGGAUUCACUGGGUGUAAAGGGAGCGUAGACGGCAUGGCAAGUCAGAUGUGAAAGCCCGGGGCUCAACCCCGGGACUGCAUUUGAAGCUGUCAGGCUGGAGUGCAGGAGGGGGAGGCGGAAUUCCUGGUGUAGCGGUGAAAUGCGUAGAUAUCAGGAGGAACACCGGCGGCGAAGGCGGCCUGCUGGACCGCGACUGACGUUGAGGCUCGAAAGCGUGGGGAGCAAACAGGAUUAGAUACCCCCGUACA
RNAcentral lists this ribosomal RNA (449 nucleotides) under uncultured bacterium. Its description in RNAcentral is "bacterial SSU rRNA". It matches the Rfam family "Bacterial small subunit ribosomal RNA", at positions 329 to 794 of the family's 1533-position model. The record is from RNAcentral.